Long non-coding RNA from Prionailurus viverrinus (fishing cat), 2547 nucleotides. RefSeq lists it as uncharacterized. The record is from RefSeq and is a predicted model, not a curated record. The transcript has 3 exons. NCBI's taxonomy places the organism in Eukaryota, Metazoa, Chordata, Mammalia, Carnivora, Felidae.
GGCGAGGGGCGGCGCGGCCCGGCAGGCUGGGCGAGCGCGGGGCGGUGGAAGGCCGCGUGCACUGAACAGGAAGUGCACGGCGCACGCCGCUCGCCCGCUCCCCGUGCCGCCCCCGGGUCGCCGCACGUUGUCGCCUGCCCGGCGGGCGGGGUCUCCCGGCCGCGGCGGCGCGGGACCGGCCUGGAGCUGAUUUGCGCAGCAUCUCGUCCCCCGGGGUCUGGCUCCUGGCCCGAGCCCCCUGCGACGCCGCCGCGCCCUGCCGGGCCACCCCGCAGCGGCGGAAGCCGGGGCUUGCGGCGGGACGCGCGCUGACCCGCACUUGCUUCCGGGAAAACCGCGGCCCCGGGCCCCUCCCCACCCGGCGUGCGGACCCGCAGGCGCCCGGAGAGCGGUCGGGGUUACCGGGGAGCGGGGUUCACACCCCACCCCACCCGCCUGACACCCGGCUUUUCUCGGGUGCGCCGAGGGGUGCGCAGUGGGGCGGCGGUAAGUGCGGACGCAGGAGCCGCAGCCCCGCGCCGCCCCAAACGCGGACUUGCUGGGACUGCGGAAAUCAACGGGGGCGGAAAUCGCGGGCGAGGCUUCCACGUGCCCCUGCGUUGCAGCCGUAGCACGGCCGGUAGCGGAGGGCCGGGGGCGUCCGUGGGGGCGUCCCCCUUCCGAGGGCCCCAGGAUGGCGCGACCUCGGCCCCCGGCCGCAAGAGGGGUGAAUGCUGGGUAGGGAGCCGCCUCCUUUCUGGCUCUAGGUUCUGAGGACGAAGUGACUCCCAAAGUCACUCCAGCGCCUUGAAUGCUGACGUCAGCUCCACCUCUCCCCGUAAUCAGAAAAUCAGGGUUACCCAGAGGAAGAAGGUGAGGACGCAGCCUCAACUCCUGUCCGGAUGCGGAUGCGGAGAUUCGCCGAGUGCCCCCUCCCCCCACUCAGAGGAGGAGGAAUUAGCCCGCUUCAGGGACCCCCUUAGGUGGCGCUUCCCACCCAGCCAGAAGCCCCGUGUUUCAGCCAUCUUUCCUAUUUUCCUUCCGAUCCACGUUCCAUCAUCUGGUCUAAAAUCCCCUGCAGUCUGGGGGGUUCCUUGGUUCAUGGGUUUUUUUCUUUUAAUCGUCCUUCUCUUUCUCCCCUGCUCUCCAGUCUAGAACGAAGCCAGACUGGAAAAUCCUAGAGCACGCCUUGCUUGACCGAAGGUUAAGCGUUCUGGAGCCCACUAGUCUGGGUUCAAAAAUCCGGUGGCCAUCCCGGCCCCACAGGGCCCUCUGGAAAGAGACAAAAAAGCGUGCCACCCCCACCCAAGCCACCCCCUUUAUCUUUGUUUCGGAUGGCUCUCCAUCCAAAAUGCCGGCCAACCGUAGGUCAUCCUGCUCACGCAACCCGAGAAGUACUUUGGAUGAAGAUAAAGUCCAGAUGCACAAAGUGGCUACUCGUCGGGCGACCAGAGAUCACAAAAUGCCCUGCCUCAUAUUCUUCCUCUGUUCCGCUUUCACGGAGAGCAAGCCCGCAAAAAAACAGCGUUGGAAUAGCCCGUUGGGAAGAUCUGCAUCUGUUCUCGCGAUGUUCCUAUUGCUCGAGAUAUUUUGGAACUCCUUCUAAACGUUUUUGAAAGUUGAGGGCCCCUUGCGAGCUGUGAAGAGCAGAAUUACUGAUGUCACCACGGAAUAUUUGUGCAAGUACCGAGCAAAACCGUCCGCACCGAAGAGGCACAUAAAAGAUCCCGUGAAAACGUUUGUUUGCCGACGGCAGGGUGAAAUUCCCACAUCAGCCUCUGUCCACAUCUCACCCGCCAGUCGGUGUGGCUCUGAUUGACCCUGGUUAAUGAAAACUGGGGUCAGUUUCAGGCUGAAUUGCUUGCGCCCCAGGGAUUGCCCAGUGCAUCUCUCUCUCCCUUUUUAAACAAAGAACCAGUAACUUCAGAGGCUCCCAUUUGCUGGCAUAUCUGUGUCAGUUCGGAUCCUUGGGGAGGUGGAUGCCAAGACAGAACUAGACAUGGAAGACGUUGAACGGGGGGCAAUGUCUGUGCAGGAUUGGGCGGGAGCGAGCAGGAGUGGGUGGGGAGAGCCUCCGACCACAGCCCAGGUCGGACACCUGGGGAAGGAGAGCGGAAGGGGAGGGGGGAGGAAGAGCCUCGGAUCAGCACAGUUCACACCCAGACCACGCGGUCUUGCCACACACAAGUCGCCCGUCAGAGGAAAGGCGGGGACAGCCCGCUAGAGGACCCCACGUGUUCUGUCGUUGCCUGGGGAUGGCUGCAGGGGCGUGGCCUCGGUGCAGGUACACUGGGGAAGCCUAGUCGGAGGCUCUGGGGCUGUCAGUCAAGGCCGUCCUCGGGAAGGACGGUCGGGUGCCACCUCCGUGACUACCGCAUCCCUCCUUGUGACACACAGAAGCACGUUUCUGUGCGCGUGUAGGGAGCGGCGCCCCUGUGGUUUCUGGGGCCUCCCCUCUCACCUUUGGGGAGACUUGGGAGAAGAAGGGUGGGAUUAACCGUGAGCCACCACUGCUGCCUCUGGUCUUGGGGCCACGUGGGUGCCCAUCCCGCCCCCUCCCCCACAGGA